AGGUCCUUAGCUCUAUGGUGGAUCAUUUUACUACAGAUCAAGAAGUCACCAGUUCGAACCUGGUAAGGCCUU
This 72-nucleotide transfer RNA is filed under the name Capsicum annuum. It matches the Rfam family "tRNA". Rfam says of the family: Transfer RNA (tRNA) molecules are approximately 80 nucleotides in length. Lineage: Eukaryota; Viridiplantae; Streptophyta; Magnoliopsida; Solanales; Solanaceae. The record is from Rfam by way of RNAcentral.